Molecule: long non-coding RNA, 1466 nt
Organism: Homo sapiens (human)
Lineage: Eukaryota; Metazoa; Chordata; Mammalia; Primates; Hominidae
Gene: STC2-DT
Product: STC2 divergent transcript
Exons: 2
Source: RefSeq, a predicted model, not a curated record
AGCGCCGGACAAAGUUGCCGACCUGGCGGCGGCCACGCGUUUGCGUGCGUGUGUAUGAGUGUGUGUGAGCGCGGCCGGAGAUGCGUGCGCGUGUGCGGGUGCUCCAGGGCAAUGGUCGAAAGGACUGUACAAUAUAAGAGCGAAUCCAAGCUCCAGUUGCUGUUAAAGGGGGACGGUGUGCUCUGGGACAGUGUCCCUGGGGCCCCUGGCUCGCGUCACACCCACAUCGGGUUGGGAAAGUUUCCUCUUUCCGCCGUUUGGAAUUCAGUGAGAUUCCCAGCCCAGAGGACUUGAUAAAUUGAAGCAGUUUCCUAGGCACAAUGAUGCUGUGGGCCAACUGAGCACACAUGGGAAUUCCUGGCCUUGUGACACUUUGCAUUAAAAAGAACCCCACGAUUGAAGAUAGGAGCAGAAGCACUAGAUACAGUAUUUGGUCUGAGCAACUGCCCUAUCUUCCCGCUUUGGUGGGCCGUGCAACACCUGGAGUGUCGUUUCUCGUCUUUCCCCUAAUCCAGACGCAUUCCAGGCUGGGCUGCAGGGAUCCAGGUGACAGUCAGGACUUGCAUCAUUUCCAGGAGGGUGGCAGGGAGGCCCAAGGCAGCCCUGAGUCAGCCCGCCGCGGAGCAUCGCGUGCCCGGAGGCCAGAGCUUGAAAGGCAACUUUACGCGUCUCCAAACACACUCCUGCAUUUUCUCAAAGCGCUGCUCGCCACCCCGCUCCGGGUUCCCUUUUACUCUCCAGUCAUCCGAUGGAAGUGGUGAGAACAAAAACAAAGACAAAAAAGCUAAAUCCGGGGAAGUUAUCUCCAUCUCCUCCCUUUUCUUGUUCGGCCCCCUCCCCAAGAACCGCCGGGUCGGGAUAGCCCCCGGCUACUUUCUCACCCGGCCCGUGGAGGGAAGGAGAAAGUUGGGCGCCGCUUGGAGCGCCUCUUCCCCUGCUGUGUGUGUACGUGUGCACGCUCACGUCUCCCCCGCGCCGGGGCCGGGGACAGGAACUGCUCUCGGUCCCGUCACCCCACGGCGCAGCUCGGGGGGCUCGCAGGGCUGGGGGAGGGCGGGGACACGAGCGCCGCGCCCAAGCGCCCCAGGGCACGCACCCGGCGUUGGCGCGCACUCGCCCCUCCCCCCGUCCCCACCCUCCUCCUGGAGAACAGAGAAAAGAAGAUGACCAUCUUCUCCUGAACAAAAUUAUGAACUGUCAGAGGUUUCAAAGGUAAUAAGUUUUAUGAUGCAAGUGGAAGAAGAACCAGAAGUAAUGAUGAGCUAGAACUUAUCAGAGAUUUCCUUGAAAUCAGGACUUGGUGUUUAUAAGAUGGGUCUGUCCCAGGCUUAUGCAUGACAGCUGGUGAGCAGUUAGUUGCAUGCAGAGGACAUUGCUCAUUUUGGGCCUAUCUACACUCAAAACCAGGAAAAUAUGCUGUGAAAAUUUGCUAUUACUAACGUCUCUAAUAAAGUUUUAAAAAACGA